RNAcentral lists this transfer RNA (68 nucleotides) under Mus musculus (house mouse). It matches the Rfam family "tRNA". Rfam says of the family: Transfer RNA (tRNA) molecules are approximately 80 nucleotides in length. Their secondary structure includes four short double-helical elements and three loops (D, anti-codon, and T loops). Lineage: Eukaryota; Metazoa; Chordata; Mammalia; Rodentia; Muridae. The record is from Rfam by way of RNAcentral.
UGCGGCUCAGUUGGUAGAGUACUUGCCUAGCAUGCAUGAUGGUCUAGGUUCAAGUCCCAGCACCGCAU